Molecule: long non-coding RNA, 2550 nt
Filed under: Homo sapiens (human)
Lineage: Eukaryota; Metazoa; Chordata; Mammalia; Primates; Hominidae
Description: HSALNT0316371
Source: RNAcentral
AAUUUCACUCCUCUGCAUUCACCAAAUGUCCAAUUACAUAUCCUCCCUGCCUGGACCUUCAGAACAAUAUAAAACUGAAUGAAGGCUAUGAAAGAAGUCACAGGAGGAUUUUUGCAGAGCUUCCAUCCAGUUCAGAAACAAAGCAAUUCAAUACAUGUCUUCAAGAUUUCUAAAGGCAAUGACUUAAUUCUAAGUUCCAUGAAAGCAGGCAUUGUGUGAAUUUCUCCUGCAUCUGGAACUGGCCUAGCACACCAAUAGAACCAUGGAGAAUUGCCAAGAUUGCUGACUAGAUGUGGCCAGGAGAAAUAUCUCCCACUGAGAGACUGGGACAUUGGAAAGACUAUAACACACCUCUGAGUAGAUCUUCUGAUGGAAGACAUUAAGAGUGGAUGCAGAGAGGAUGCAGAUGCUGGGCUGAAGAGAGAGGAAGCUGGAAACCCUGCAUAGUGUGGCUGAGCCUCAGGACUUGUACCUGGCCCUCAGAGACUCCUGGGGGAAGGGUGAGUUUACAGGUGAGGAGUGGCCUGCUCUCACCAUGGACCCAUUCUGGUAGGUCCCUCAACCUCUAUGGGCAUCUGAGAUGGUAGGAAAAGCUGCUCAGAGAGGUCAUAUGGGCAGGACUCCAGCCUAUGCAGAGCCCAGAGUGGUGGGAGAACAGCUGCAGUGAAGCACAUCCAGGGACGGCCAUCCUCCAAGGCUCACUGUGCUUCUCCAGGAUACUUUAGCCUCAAUAUGACUGUUAGAGCUAGACAAAGCAGGGCAGUCUUGCUCGUGGGAUGCGGCCUGAUGCCUGAUCUGAUGCUCUGUUACCUGCUGGCCUCUCUUGGGGAGCCAGUCUGGUCGUGCUUGCUUGAAGUGCAGCCUUGGAUACCCAACAGGGGUGCUUCUAGGAACCCUCAUCAUAGCUCCUUCAAUGGCAGACUUAGCUCCUUCAAUGGCAGACUGUGCCUGAUUAUCAGAGAACUCCAGCAGACCAGGCCCCACUUACAUGAACCAGCCCACGCACAGCUUCACCCUAUCACAGCCCUCCCGUAAUGCUUUACUGACAUGCAUUUGCUCAUGGCCAUUCUCCAUCGCUGUGCUUGUAUGAGUCCACCUUGUUGCUUCCCCCUGCCAUUAACAUGCAGGUUCACUCCUGUGCCAGCACUAAUGUGUGCACAGAUGCUGGCAACACUGUUCUCCCCCCAACCCCUGCUACCACCGCCACCAAUGCUGCCGGUGUGAAUGCAUACAUGGACACCAGCAACUCCAUCUCUGCUAGUGUACUGCCCUUGCUGUGCUGUCAUCACUGGCAUAAACAUGUGCAGGAACACCACCUCCCUGCUCCCACAGUUGCUCUGUGCAAGCCAACAUGUGUGCACCUUGCCACAUUGCUGUGGCUGCUGGUAUGCAUGAGCCAGCAUGGAUCCCACUGCCACUACUCCAGUGACAUGCUUUGACCAGCACCCCUCCCCAUCAGAGUGUGGUGGCCAGUGGACAAGAACACCUCAGUCUCUCCAGUGCAGCAGCUUCCUAACCUUGAGGGGCCAGAGAACAAGGCUGGGGGCCCAGUACCAGCCUCCCAGAGUUAAAACAUGCAGCCCAGCAGUGUAGAGCUGAGCCUUGGCUUUCUAAAAUCUUCCAGAAAUAAAUGAAGCCAGUUGACUGAACCCAUCAUAUGCCACAAUCUAACUCCCAGGGCAUCAAAGAAGAUAAAAGCCAAAAUCCCCAUCCAAAGGACAGUAAUAUCAAAGAUGAGAAAGAACCAGUGCAAAAAACUCUGGCAAUUCAAAAAGCCAGAGUGUCUUUUUACCUCCAAACGAUCACUCCAUUUCCUCAGUGGUGGUUCUUAACUAGGCUGAAAAGACAGAAAUGACAGAUAUAGACUUCAGAAUAUGGAUAGGAAAGAUGAUCAAGAUUUGGGAGAAGAUUGAAACCCAAUCCUAGGAAGCUAAGGAAUACAAUAAUGCAAUACAGGAGCUGAAAGAUGAAAUGGCCAUUUUAAGAAAGAACCAAACUGAUGUGAUAGAGUGACAGAGCUGAAAAACUCACUUUGAGAAUUUCACAAUACAAUUGCAAGUAUUAACAGCAGAGUAGACCAUGCUGACGAAGGACUCUCAGAUCUUGAAGACCAGUUCUCCAAAGUUAACUUGGUCAGACAAAAAUAAAGAAAAAAGGAUAUAAAAAGAAUAAACAAAACCUCCAAGAAACAUGAGAUUAUGUAAAGAGAUCAAAUUUCUGAUGCAUUGGCAUCCUUGAAAAUGAGGGAGAGAAAGCACGCAACUUAGAAAACAUAUUUCAAGAUAUUGUCAAUGAAAAAUUCCCCAACCUCGCUAGAGAGUCCAAUAUUCAAAUCCAGGAAAUGAAGAGAACGCCUGCAAGAUAUUAUACAAGAUGAUCAUUCCUAAGACACAGAGUCACCUGAUUCUCUGAGGUUGAAAUGAAAGAAAAAAUGUUAAAGGCAGCUAAAGAGAAGGGACAGGUUGCUUACAAAGGCAACCCCAUCAAGCUAACAGCAGACCUUUCAGCAGAAAUCCUACAAGCCAGAAGAGACUGGGGGCUUAGAUUCAG